UUGGUGACAUUUUUCUAAUGACUCCACCUUGAGUAUGUCAAAAGCCAGUCAAUAUAGGAAGAGAAAUCUAGUUUCUUUUCUUCAUGGUAUGCAUGUUCAUCAUAAAGAACUCAGGCCUGGUGCUUACUCCUCUCACAUCUGCUCUUUCUCUGAACUGCCCUUCCCAAUUAUCUGCUUGUCCAUCUUAAAUACAAGCUCUUUUUCACUGUCUUUGAAAAGAAGAUUGUUUCUCUCCUCUGGAGUGGUCUGAGAAGCAUCUAUUUGGGUAGGAUAUCUGGGGGGAAAGGUUGAUUGAAGAGGUCACAACUCUUUGUAAAAAAAUGGUACUUGGUGGUUUGGGGAAUUAUAGUAUCCUUGGGAGGGAGUCAGUAAUAGAAAUCUAAUCCAUACAUUUAGGAUGGACUUUUUGUUUUCUUUUAGUCCUCUGUAAAAGCUCUUUGUUCUUGUUUGAUCAUGGCAUGCCAGUGUAACAUAAGCACUGGCAGUUCCCACAGGAUGAGAAAGGCCUUUAUGUCCAGUCUUGGUGACACUUUGAGUUAACUUUUCAAAAAUCCACCUCAUAGUUUUUAAAUAAACACUAGUACUAUGAUGGCAAACCUAUGGCAUGUAUGCCAAAGAUGGCACACAGAGACCUCUCUGUGGGCACGUGUGCCAUCCCUGGCAGUUAGUUACUAGAAAGGCAGAGGGACUCUGGCAUAGCUGCUCCCUUUACCCUCUCUACUUCACCUCCCUGUCCCUCUUUCCUUACUCCCUCCCCUGUCUGGGGUAAGGGAAGGGGGAAGGGCACUUGGUCUCUGGGAGGGAAUGGCAUGGCACAUGGUCUCUAGAAGGUUCUAAAAGGUUCACCACCACUGCACUAGGCUAUUAGAUUCCUGCUUAAGAACUCCUAUUUAGAAGACAUCUAGUAAGUCCCUUUGAACAUCUAUGGAGGCCCUAUGGGAGAACAUGGAUGAAAACUGCAAAAGCACUUCCCUUCCCAAGUGGAUGGAAAACUGUGUCAUUUCCAGCUAACCUUGGCUCUUGCAAGAAAAAACAAGAGGACCAGAGAAUUUCACAUCUGAAAGAGACUUGUGUGGCUCCAUUGAAUUAUGCCCAUGUUUGGACAGGAGACCUCGAACUCUUGCUCAGCCUGACCUUGAAGUCUUUUCGCCUGGGUAGAACUUGGCAGAACGCUGCUCGUCCGAUGCCUCCUUCCGGACGACAGCGAGAAAAGACUUCAGAAGAGAACUUUAAUGGCAAAUCAGAAUGA
Molecule: long non-coding RNA, 1249 nt
Filed under: Monodelphis domestica (gray short-tailed opossum)
Lineage: Eukaryota; Metazoa; Chordata; Mammalia; Didelphimorphia; Didelphidae
Description: lncRNA (ENSMODG00000044102.1)
Source: RNAcentral